AUAGAGAGUGGGAUUUUGGUUUGUAUAGGAAGGAACUCUGCAAUGAUUCUAGCCUUGAUUUUGGUUUAUAAUCACGUGCAUAUCACAAUUUGUAGUCCAAAAUUAACUCAUCAUGGAUAAAGUUAGAUUUUGGUUUUGUUUUCCCUCACAGUUUCUAGCAGUUCAAGGAAUUGGUGCCAGCCUUUUGUUUAGGCAUUGGAGAAUGCAAUUGGAAUCUCAAUGGCCAUAAUCCAAGCUAUAAAGCAUAAUUGUCAAUAGACCAUCAUAUGUUGGUGGGUAGCAAUACACGCCCUUUUCAAGGCCGUUCUAAAGGAUAUUUUAAAAUGUAUGGUCAGACCGGACAUUUAGUGCAAUGGUUGAAAUCUUAAUAAAUUUUUUUUAUUU
Molecule: long non-coding RNA, 384 nt
Organism: Prosopis cineraria
Lineage: Eukaryota; Viridiplantae; Streptophyta; Magnoliopsida; Fabales; Fabaceae
Exons: 3
Source: RefSeq, a predicted model, not a curated record